GAUGAACGCUAGCGGCAGGCUUAANACAUGCAAGUCGAGGGGCAGCAUGAAUUUACUUCGGUAGAUUUGAUGGCGACCGGCGCACGGGUGCGUAACGCGUAUCCAACCUUCCCGCUACUCCGGGAUAGCCUUCCGAAAAGGGAGAUUAAUACCGGAUGGUGUUCAAGUGGUGCAUAUUAUUUGAACUAAAGAUUUAUCGGUAGCGGAUGGGGAUGCGUACCGUUAGAUAGUAGGCGGGGUAACGGCCCACCUAGUCCACGAUGGUUAGGGGUUCUGAGAGGAAGGUCCCCCCACACUGGAACUGAGACACGGUCCAGACUCCUACGGGAGGCAGCAGUGAGGAAUAUUGGUCAAUGGCCGGGAGGCUGAACCAGCCAAGUAGCGUGAAGGAUGACUGCCCUACGGGUUGUAAACUUCUUUUGUUUGGGAAUAAAAGACGCUACGUGUAGCGUUCUGCAUGUACCUUACGAAUAAGCAUCGGCUAAUUCCGUG
This 492-nucleotide ribosomal RNA is filed under the name uncultured bacterium. RNAcentral describes it as "bacterial SSU rRNA". It matches the Rfam family "Bacterial small subunit ribosomal RNA", at positions 28 to 507 of the family's 1533-position model. The record is from RNAcentral.